AGCGGGGUGGAGGAGUAGUACCUCACAAGGCUCAUAACCUUGGGACCCGGGUGCAAAUCCCGGCCCCGCAACAA
RNAcentral lists this transfer RNA (74 nucleotides) under Candidatus Adlerbacteria bacterium RIFCSPLOWO2_01_FULL_51_16. RNAcentral's name for it is "tRNA-Met". It matches the Rfam family "tRNA". From Rfam's summary of the family: Transfer RNA (tRNA) molecules are approximately 80 nucleotides in length. Their secondary structure includes four short double-helical elements and three loops (D, anti-codon, and T loops). The record is from RNAcentral. Lineage: Bacteria; Candidatus Adleribacteriota.